RNAcentral lists this ribosomal RNA (434 nucleotides) under uncultured bacterium. Its description in RNAcentral is "partial 16S ribosomal RNA". It matches the Rfam family "Bacterial small subunit ribosomal RNA", at positions 29 to 507 of the family's 1533-position model. The record is from RNAcentral.
AGCGAACGCUGGCGGCAGGCCUAACACAUGCCAGUCGAACGAACCUUUCGGGGUUAGUGGCGGACGGGUGUGUCACACGUGGGAACGUGCCUUUAGGCUCGGAAUAACUCAGGGAAACGUGUGCUAAUACCGGAUGUGCCCUUCGGGGGCAAGAUUCAUCGCCCUUAGGGGGGCCGGGGUCGGCUUAGCAAGUGGGGUUAGGGAAUGGCUCACCAGGGCUACAUAAAGUAGCUGGUCAGAGAGGAUGAUCAGCCACAUUGGGACUGAGACACGGCCCAAACUCCUACGGGAGGGAGCAGUGGGGAAUCUUGCGCAAUGGGCGAAAGCAUGACGCAGCCAUGCCGCGUGAAUGAUGAAGGUCGUAGGAAAGUAAAAUUCUUUAACCGGGGACGAUAAUGACGGUACCCGGAGAAGAAGCCCCGGCUAACUUCGUG